AUUGAACGCUGGCGGCAUGCCUUACACAUGCAAGUCGAACGGCAGCACGGGGCAACCUGGUGGCGAGUGGCGAACGGGUGAGUAAUGCAUCGGAACGUACCUUUCAGUGGGGGAUAACGUAGCGAAAGUUACGCUAAUACCGCAUAUUCUGUGAGCAGGAAAGCAGGGGAUCGCAAGACCUUGCGCUGAUUGAGCGGCCGAUGUCAGAUUAGCUAGUUGGUGAGGUAAAGGCUCACCAAGGCGACGAUCUGUAGCGGGUCUGAGAGGAUGAUCCGCCACACUGGAACUGAGACACGGUCCAGACUCCUACGGGAGGCAGCAGUGGGGAAUUUUGGACAAUGGGGGCAACCCUGAUCCAGCCAUGCCGCGUGAGUGAAGAAGGCCUUCGGGUUGUAAAGCUCUUUCGGCCGGGAAGAAAUCGCAUGGGCUAAUACCUGUGUGGAUGACGGUACCGGAAUAAGAAGCACCGGCUAACUACGUGCCAGCCGCCGCAGUAA
Molecule: ribosomal RNA, 497 nt
Filed under: uncultured bacterium
Lineage: Bacteria
Description: partial 16S ribosomal RNA
Rfam family: Bacterial small subunit ribosomal RNA
Source: RNAcentral